RNAcentral lists this ribosomal RNA (253 nucleotides) under uncultured bacterium. Its description in RNAcentral is "partial 16S ribosomal RNA". It matches the Rfam family "Bacterial small subunit ribosomal RNA", at positions 524 to 776 of the family's 1533-position model. The record is from RNAcentral.
UACGGAGGAUCCAAGCGUUAUCCGGAUUUAUUGGGUUUAAAGGGUGCGUAGGCGGCUUAUUAAGUCAGGGGUGAAAGACGGUGGCUCAACCAUCGCAGUGCCUUUGAUACUGAUGAGCUUGAAUGAACUAGAGGUAGGCGGAAUGUGACAAGUAGCGGUGAAAUGCAUAGAUAUGUCACAGAACACCGAUUGCGAAGGCAGCUUACUAUGGUUUUACUGACGCUGAGGCACGAAAGCGUGGGGAUCAAACAGG